AGAAACACAGUUAUCCCACUUUUCUCCCCAAUUUAGCUUUAGCUGUUCGAAUUGCUGCUGAUGCAGCUUUGCAGAGUAGCCAGUACCAUCUACCCACCCGGAGAGAACAAGGCCAAUUGUGCUUUCUCAGGGCUCUGGUGGCUGAUGGCAAGCUGCAGGACCAGGAUUUAAAACAGGGAUCUCCUGAUCACAGUACCAGCACUUGGAGACCACAUCUCCCUCAUCUACUAUCUUGCCACAGACAGUAGCUGUGAGUGAAGGAGGUCAGAGGUCAGGAGUCGAUCGGAGGGGCGGCGGCCAGUCGAUGGUCAUUCGAUGUGAGAGCCGUGGGUUCUGUCGGAUCCCGCAUGACCCGCGUCCCGUUCCGCUUCCCUGCGGAUUUAACAGAUUUACCGUCCCGCAGGCUGCCCUGACCAGGUCAACCACAGUGGAUCGAUGCUACACCACAGCGGUCUCGAUGUCUACAAUCAACACAAUCACAGCAGUCUGAGAGGAGGACGCAGCAGACGAGACUGAUGUCGUUGCAACAAGAGGAAAAUUACACUGUUCUCCAUUCCCGGUCUGCAAUCGUUUAUUCCAGCAUCCUCUAAACAUACAUUAACUUCUCUCCACGGCGCACGGUGCGACUCAACACGCAGAGUGGCGCGUGGGCGAGCGAGCCAUUACACUCAGCAGGUUCAUUUCUCCAUUUCUUCUCUCGCUCCGUUUACUCGCACCAAGCUCCGGCAAGCUCCGGCGUUCACCAGCGGCCUCCUGGUGGAUCACAGUCCCAGUGUUGCUAAAGAGCGUCACACUAGCGCUGAGGAUGUCCUUGGGUUUGGAGAGAGUCUUCACACAAUGCUGAGAGGACUCAAGGUAACCUGUGGCUCACUAGCGUUUG
RNAcentral lists this long non-coding RNA (880 nucleotides) under Astyanax mexicanus (Mexican tetra). Its description in RNAcentral is "lncRNA (ENSAMXG00005019404.1)". Lineage: Eukaryota; Metazoa; Chordata; Actinopteri; Characiformes; Acestrorhamphidae. The record is from RNAcentral.